UCAGCUACAAGGGCUCACGUGGAUACUUGCACACAGAGCGAUGAAGACGUGUACUGCGAUAGUCCUCGGGGAGCUGGAAACAACGCUUGAUCGGAUUC
RNAcentral lists this ribosomal RNA (98 nucleotides) under uncultured Synechococcus sp. RNAcentral's name for it is "partial 23S ribosomal RNA". Lineage: Bacteria; Bacillati; Cyanobacteriota; Cyanophyceae; Synechococcales; Synechococcaceae. The record is from RNAcentral.